This 1273-nucleotide long non-coding RNA is filed under the name Equus caballus (horse). RNAcentral's name for it is "lncRNA (ENSECAG00000052751.1)". The record is from RNAcentral. Lineage: Eukaryota; Metazoa; Chordata; Mammalia; Perissodactyla; Equidae.
AUUCAAAAGAAGGUAAGAAAAGUUUAAAAUAGGGAUUUUUUUUUAAAUGUCUUUGAUUCUUUGCAUUUCUUCUGCUAUGAACUUAUCUGUAUCUUUUGCCCAGUUUUCUAUUUGGAUACUUUCCUUUUCUUAUUGAUUUUAGAUGGACAUAAAUACAGGUAAAUAGAAAUAUGUUCAGGUGAAUAUUGCAAGUACACUCUUGUAGGGCUCAGUUUUAAAUCUUUAUGCCUUGGUUGGGACACUAAGGGCCUGGUGAGACCACUUGCUUGGACGUUAGUGAGAAGAGGGAUAGUCCCUUGAAGUCUUAUGCUUUGCACUCAGUAGGAGCUCACCAAAUGCCUAAUGAGUUGAACUGAAUUGAGAUGAUCAAGGGGCUAAGCAAACAAUGGGUCGCUGCAUUAUUGUCAUUUAGACAGUAAGAAGUUAUUUGAACCAGUGACAGGAAUAGCGAAUGCUAAAUGUUGAAGUCCAAAGAGGGAGCAGAAAUAAACCGGGCUGGAAAGAACCACAGGAAUUCCCUGUGGUUGGAAGGCUCAGCCCGAUGUGGACAUGUGCGCUGCCGCUCUAGGUGAGGUGCCUGGAGCAGAAACGCGUGACGCAUACCUAAUCAAGGCCAAUAGGUGGCGCUCUAAAGACGUCCCAUCGCCGUCCAGACUUCCAGGGCCAAGAUGUUGCUUCAGCGCCUGAGCAGUGGAAACUGGCUGACGUAUGGGAGACUCCGAGCUCUAACUUUUUGGCUCUGUGCUUCCUCCAGAGCUGGUUCAGCGCUGGCCCCUAUGUGUUGCUGUUGAUCUGAUCAUCGAGGCUUGGGACAAAGGACACAGGAACAGGGAAGUUUUGCCAUGAGCUAACAUCUGUGUCAAUCUUCCUCUAUUUUGUAUGUGGGUCGCUGCCACAGCACUGCUGCUGAUGAGUGGUAUGCGUCCACACCUGGGAACUGGACCUGGGCUGCCGAAGUGGAGUAUGCUGAACUUAACCACUAGGCCAUGGGGCUGGCCCCUAAUAAUAUCUCUUAGUCUCAUCUCAUGUUAAUUUAUAAAUUUCUACCUUGUCCUUCUUAACAGCUGUUUAGUAUUCCAAUGUAUGGAUAUACCAUAAUUUAUUAAACCAGUCUCCUACUGAUGGGUGUUUAGGUUGUUCCCAAUUUACUGCUAUCAUAAUAAACAGUGUUGCAGUAAACAUCAUUGAACAUACAUCUUUGUAUACGAGUCCUAUUAUUUCCUUAGGAUAAAUCCUUAUGAGUCAAAUUGCUGGGUGGAAAGUUAUACAUGUG